Molecule: ribosomal RNA, 421 nt
Filed under: uncultured bacterium
Lineage: Bacteria
Description: bacterial SSU rRNA
Rfam family: Bacterial small subunit ribosomal RNA
Source: RNAcentral
AAGGAAUAUUGGACAAUGGACGGAAGUCUGAUCCAGCCAUGCCGCGUGAAGGAAGAAGGCGCUCAGCGUUGUAAACUUCUUUUGGACGGGGACAAACCUGUGGAUUCAUCCGCAGCUGAGGGUACCGUCAGAAUAAGCACCGGCUAACUCCGUGCCAGCAGCCGCGGUAAUACGGAGGGUGCAAGCGUUAUCCGGAAUCACUGGGUUUAAAGGGUGCGUAGGCGGUCUGGUAAGUCAGUCGUGAAAUCGCCGGGCUUAACCCGUGCAACUGCGAUUGAUACUGCCGGACUUGAAUGAGGUUGAGGUAGGCGGAAUGUGGCAUGUAGCGGUGAAAUGCUUAGAUAUGCCAUAGAACACCGAUUGCGAAGGCAGCUUGCUGGGCCUUCAUUGACGCUGAGGCACGAAAGCGUGGGGAGCAAAC